GGUGAACGCUGGCGGCAGGCCUAACACAUGCAAGUCGAACGGACCCUUCGGGGUUAGUGGCGGACGGGUGAGUAACACGUGGGAACGUGCCCUUUGGUUCGGAACAACUCAGGGAAACUUGAGCUAAUACCGAAUGUGCCCUUCGGGGGAAAGAUUUAUCGCCAUUGGAGCGGCCCGCGUCUGAUUAGCUAGUUGGUGGGGUAAUGGCCUACCAAGGCGACGAUCAGUAGCUGGUCUGAGAGGAUGAUCAGCCACAUUGGGACUGAGAUACGGCCCAAACUCCUACGGGAGGCAGCAGUGGGGAAUCUUGCGCAAUGGGCGAAAGCCUGACGCAGCCAUGCCGCGUGAAUGAUGAAGGUCUUAGGAUUGUAAAAUUCUUUCACCGGGGACGAUAAUGACGGUACCCGGAGAAGAAGCCCCGGCUAACUUCGUGCCAGCCGCCGCCGUAA
RNAcentral lists this ribosomal RNA (449 nucleotides) under uncultured bacterium. Its description in RNAcentral is "partial 16S ribosomal RNA". It matches the Rfam family "Bacterial small subunit ribosomal RNA", at positions 28 to 523 of the family's 1533-position model. The record is from RNAcentral.